GACGAACGCUGGCGGCGUGCUUAACACAUGCAAGUCGAACGGAAAGGCCUGCUUUCCCUUGUGGAUUGCGGGUACUCGAGUGGCGAACGGGUGAGUAACACGUGGGUGAUCUGCCCCCAACUUGGGUAUAAGCCUGGGAAACUGGGUCUAAUUCCCGAUAGGACUGCAGGGUGGUGCCUGUGGUGGAAAACGAUUUUCUAGUGGUUGGGGAUGAGCUCGCGGCCUAUCAGCUUGUUGGUGGGGUAAUGGCCUACCAAGGCGGCGACGGGUAGCCGGCCUGAGAGGGCGGACGGCCACAUUGGGACUGAGAUACGGCCCAGACUCCUACGGGAGGCAGCAGUGGGGAAUAUUGCACAAUGGGCGGAAGCCUGAUGCAGCGACGCCGCGUGGGGGAUGACGGCCUUCGGGUUGUAAACUCCUUUCGACCGCGAGGAAGCCACCUGGUUGGAAGGGUGGUGACGGUAGUGGUAGAAGAAGCACCGGCUAACUACGUG
Molecule: ribosomal RNA, 494 nt
Filed under: uncultured bacterium
Lineage: Bacteria
Description: partial 16S ribosomal RNA
Rfam family: Bacterial small subunit ribosomal RNA
Source: RNAcentral